RNAcentral lists this small RNA (198 nucleotides) under Clostridium sp. RNAcentral's name for it is "c-di-AMP sequence". It matches the Rfam family "c-di-AMP riboswitch aptamer (ydaO/yuaA leader)". Rfam says of the family: This family represents a conserved RNA structure found upstream of the ydaO and yuaA genes in Bacillus subtilis and related genes in other bacteria. The ydaO/yuaA element is thought to act as a genetic "off" switch for the ydaO and yuaA genes in its native state. The record is from RNAcentral. Lineage: Bacteria; Bacillati; Bacillota; Clostridia; Eubacteriales; Clostridiaceae.
CAACUAUACUUGCCGAAUCUUCUAAACGAAGUACGGGGGAUCACAUUUGGGUGAAUCCUUUAGAACAAUAUACAAUAAACUAAUAGUCAAUAAGAAAAUUUCAAAAGUUUUCUUAUUAUUUAACUAUAUGUUCCUAAAGGUAGGGUGCCUUCAACCCGAACCCGCAAGCUAACCUCGGAGGCAAAAUAGAAGGAGGAU